GCACUUCAAUAUUGUAAGUCGCUUUGGACAAAAGCGUCUGCUAAAUGUUAUGUU
This is a regulatory RNA element of Astyanax mexicanus (Mexican tetra), 54 nucleotides long. It matches the Rfam family "UnaL2 LINE 3' element". Rfam says of the family: The eel long interspersed element (LINE) UnaL2 and its partner short interspersed element (SINE) share a conserved 3' tail containing a stem-loop that is critical for their retrotransposition. Presumably, the first step of retrotransposition is the recognition of their 3' tails by UnaL2-encoded reverse transcriptase. The record is from Rfam. NCBI's taxonomy places the organism in Eukaryota, Metazoa, Chordata, Actinopteri, Characiformes, Acestrorhamphidae.